RNAcentral lists this transfer RNA (72 nucleotides) under Heterocephalus glaber (naked mole-rat). RNAcentral's name for it is "tRNA-Ala (AGC) (tRNA-Ala-AGC-20-1)". It matches the Rfam family "tRNA". Rfam says of the family: Transfer RNA (tRNA) molecules are approximately 80 nucleotides in length. Their secondary structure includes four short double-helical elements and three loops (D, anti-codon, and T loops). The record is from Rfam by way of RNAcentral. Lineage: Eukaryota; Metazoa; Chordata; Mammalia; Rodentia; Bathyergidae.
UGUGAUGUAGCUCAGUGGUGGAGCACUUGCCUAGCAUGUAUGAGGUCUUGGGUUCAAUCCCCAGCACCACAC